Molecule: long non-coding RNA, 110 nt
Organism: Danio aesculapii
Lineage: Eukaryota; Metazoa; Chordata; Actinopteri; Cypriniformes; Danionidae
Exons: 3
Source: RefSeq, a predicted model, not a curated record
CAUCGGUCAACGUGACUUCUAUUCAACAUCUAUGGUCGCAAUCCCAAGGUUCAUUGCGAUCCCAAGGUCCACUGCGGUUUUCCACGCGAUGCAGAACCUUUAGACACUGG